GGGUAGAGGUUGCUUGCAACCUUGAGACCGGCGCACGGGUGCGUAACGCGUAUGCAACCUACCUUCAUCUGGGGGAUAGCCCGGAGAAAUCCGGAUUAACACCGCAUAAAAUCACAGUCCCACCUGGGACAAUGAUCAAAUAUUUAUAGGAUGGAGAUGGGCAUGCGUGUCAUUAGCUAGUUGGCGGGGUAACGGCCCACCAAGGCGACGAUGACUAGGGGAUCUGAGAGGAUGGCCCCCCACACUGGUACUGAGACACGGACCAGACUCCUACGGGAGGCAGCAGUAAGGAAUAUUGGUCAAUGGAGGCAACUCUGAACCAGCCAUGCCGCGUGCAGGAAGACUGCCCUAUGGGUUGUAAACUGCUUUUAUUCGGGAAUAAACCUAGAUACGUGUAUUUAGCUGAAUGUACCGAAGGAAUAAGGAUCGGCUAACUCCGUGCCAGCAGCCGCGGUAAUACGGAGGAUCCAAGCGUUAUCCGGAUUUAUUG
Molecule: ribosomal RNA, 490 nt
Filed under: uncultured Pedobacter sp.
Lineage: Bacteria; Pseudomonadati; Bacteroidota; Sphingobacteriia; Sphingobacteriales; Sphingobacteriaceae
Description: bacterial SSU rRNA
Rfam family: Bacterial small subunit ribosomal RNA
Source: RNAcentral